GCUUUGCAUGCCAUUUCAGACCCUAGAACAAAGAUCAUACAAAUUUUAACAUACUUGAAAAAGGGAUCCAACAAUAAAGGGCAAAUGACACAUAUGGCCAAUCUUGGUUGCUCAAGCUUAAAUAUUCCUUUCAGAAAAGGCAAGAACUCCAUAGCCAACUAGAAUGUAAUUCUUCGAAUGGUAUAUAAAGUUAAGAAGUGUAAUACACACAAAUAUUGCAUCCCAGAAGAAUUCCUGUUGUCCAAAAGUUGUUUACCCAAAUACGAUUUUCUAAAAUUCUAGUGAUACAGCAAUUCUCCAAAAACGCAAGGCAUGUAUGCAUGCACUAUGCAGUGAUGCACGCAUAAAUUUUAGUUAGAGGGGCACAAUUAAAAGUAAUAUAUCACCUCUAAGAAAAACGUUUAUACGUAGAUAAGAUCAUUUUUGAAAAAUACAAAAAAUUACUCAAUCACAUUACAGUGAUCCUGAUUUAUUCUUCAUCUUAUAAAAUAGUUACACAAUAAAUUCAUUGCCAAUACUUGUAAAUACUCCCAUUCAAUGUAAAUAUAACGGCAAAAUAAACAACACAGUUGAAUCGAGAGUUGAGACCAUAAUAUUGAUAAAUUUAUUACUAGCUCAAACUUUCAAGUAUCAAAUAUCAAUUACUAUUUUUAAUUAUCCAAUUUUUGAUAUUAGAUAAAAAAAAAUAGAAAUUAGAUUAACUUUCAUUAAAAUUAUAUACUCAGAAUCUCUAAAUUUUGUAUAAAUUCUUUAGCUUAAAUUAUUAUAAAAAAAACCCAUCAAAUUUAUUAACAUAUAAGACUUGUUAAAUAAGAGAGAGAGAGAGAAAGAGAGC
Molecule: unclassified non-coding RNA, 835 nt
Filed under: Hevea brasiliensis (rubber tree)
Lineage: Eukaryota; Viridiplantae; Streptophyta; Magnoliopsida; Malpighiales; Euphorbiaceae
Source: RNAcentral